This 1285-nucleotide ribosomal RNA is filed under the name Mycolicibacterium smegmatis. RNAcentral's name for it is "bacterial SSU rRNA". It matches the Rfam family "Bacterial small subunit ribosomal RNA", at positions 41 to 1338 of the family's 1533-position model. Lineage: Bacteria; Bacillati; Actinomycetota; Actinomycetes; Mycobacteriales; Mycobacteriaceae. The record is from RNAcentral.
GGCGUGCUUAACACAUGCAAGUCGAACGGAAAGGCCCUUUCGGGGGUACUCGAGUGGCGAACGGGUGAGUAACACGUGGGUGAUCUGCCCUGCACUUUGGGAUAAGCCUGGGAAACUGGGUCUAAUACCGAAUACACCCUGCUGGUCGCAUGGCCUGGUAGGGGAAAGCUUUUGCGGUGUGGGAUGGGCCCGCGGCCUAUCAGCUUGUUGGUGGGGUGAUGGCCUACCAAGGCGACGACGGGUAGCCGGCCUGAGAGGGUGACCGGCCACACUGGGACUGAGAUACGGCCCAGACUCCUACGGGAGGCAGCAGUGGGGAAUAUUGCACAAUGGGCGCAAGCCUGAUGCAGCGACGCCGCGUGAGGGAUGACGGCCUUCGGGUUGUAAACCUCUUUCAGCACAGACGAAGCGCAAGUGACGGUAUGUGCAGAAGAAGGACCGGCCAACUACGUGCCAGCAGCCGCGGUAAUACGUAGGGUCCGAGCGUUGUCCGGAAUUACUGGGCGUAAAGAGCUCGUAGGUGGUUUGUCGCGUUGUUCGUGAAAACUCACAGCUUAACUGUGGGCGUGCGGGCGAUACGGGCAGACUAGAGUACUGCAGGGGAGACUGGAAUUCCUGGUGUAGCGGUGGAAUGCGCAGAUAUCAGGAGGAACACCGGUGGCGAAGGCGGGUCUCUGGGCAGUAACUGACGCUGAGGAGCGAAAGCGUGGGGAGCGAACAGGAUUAGAUACCCUGGUAGUCCACGCCGUAAACGGUGGGUACUAGGUGUGGGUUUCCUUCCUUGGGAUCCGUGCCGUAGCUAACGCAUUAAGUACCCCGCCUGGGGAGUACGGCCGCAAGGCUAAAACUCAAAGGAAUUGACGGGGGCCCGCACAAGCGGCGGAGCAUGUGGAUUAAUUCGAUGCAACGCGAAGAACCUUACCUGGGUUUGACAUGCACAGGACGCCGGCAGAGAUGUCGGUUCCCUUGUGGCCUGUGUGCAGGUGGUGCAUGGCUGUCGUCAGCUCGUGUCGUGAGAUGUUGGGUUAAGUCCCGCAACGAGCGCAACCCUUGUCUCAUGUUGCCAGCACGUUAUGGUGGGGACUCGUGAGAGACUGCCGGGGUCAACUCGGAGGAAGGUGGGGAUGACGUCAAGUCAUCAUGCCCCUUAUGUCCAGGGCUUCACACAUGCUACAAUGGCCGGUACAAAGGGCUGCGAUGCCGUGAGGUGGAGCGAAUCCUUUCAAAGCCGGUCUCAGUUCGGAUCGGGGUCUGCAACUCGACCCCGUGAAGUCGGAGUCGCUAG